Molecule: ribosomal RNA, 485 nt
Filed under: uncultured bacterium
Lineage: Bacteria
Description: bacterial SSU rRNA
Rfam family: Bacterial small subunit ribosomal RNA
Source: RNAcentral
GAUGAACGCUAGCGGCAGGGUUAAUACAUGCAAGUCGAACGGUAACAGGUCUUCGGACGCUGACGAGUGGCGCACGGGUGAGGAACACGUACACAAUCUACCUUAUACUGGAGAAUAGCCCCGGGAAACUGGGAUUAAUACUCCAUAGUCUUUAAUGAUCACAUGAGAAAUAAAGUAAAGCUUCGGCGGUAUAAGAUGAGUGUGCGUCCCAUUAGAUUGUUGGUGAGGUAACGGCUCACCAAGUCGACGAUGGGUAGCUGGCGUGAGAGCGCGACCAGCCACACUGGCACUGAGACACGGGCCAGACUCCUACGGGAGGCAGCAGUAGGGAAUAUUGGUCAAUGGACGAAAGUCUGAACCAGCCAUGCCGCGUGGAGGAUGACUGCCCUCUGGGUUGUAAACUCCUUUUAUAUGGGAAGAAACCUCUGGAUUCACUCCAGAGCUGACGGUAUCAUAUGAAUAAGCACCGGCUAACUCCGUGCCAG